GAGACUGGAUUGUUAAGCGUGUUAUUCGCUCUCAAAAUCGCGUGAUUGUUGAGGGGAAAAAUCUGGUAAAGAAACAUAUCAAGCAAGGGCAAGGGCAUGAAGGUGGGAUUUUUACAGUCGAAGCCCCCCUUCAUGUCUCAAAGGUUCAGGUUCUUGACCCAGUUACAGGGAGACCUUGUAAGGUUGGAAUCAGAUAUCUAGAAGAUGGUGCCAAAGCACGAGUUUCCCGAGGAAUAGGAUCAUCAGGGUCUAUAAUUCCUCGCCCUGAGAUCCUAAAGAUAAAGACCACACCUAGAC
Non-coding RNA from Camellia sinensis, 297 nucleotides. Lineage: Eukaryota; Viridiplantae; Streptophyta; Magnoliopsida; Ericales; Theaceae. The record is from RefSeq and is a predicted model, not a curated record.